This 459-nucleotide ribosomal RNA is filed under the name uncultured bacterium. RNAcentral's name for it is "partial 16S ribosomal RNA". It matches the Rfam family "Bacterial small subunit ribosomal RNA", at positions 338 to 795 of the family's 1533-position model. The record is from RNAcentral.
CCUACGGUGGGCUGCAGUGAGGAAUAUUGGUCAAUGGGCGCGAGCCUGAACCAGCCAAGUCGCGUGAGGGAAGACGGUCCUAUGGAUUGUACACCUCUUUUGUCGGGGAGCAAAAGACGCCACGCGUGGCGUUCCGAGAGUACCCGAUGAAAAAGCAUCGGCUAACCCCGUGCCAGCAGCCGCGGUAAUACGGAGGAUGCGAGCGUUCUCCGUAUUUAUUGGGUUUAAGGGGUGCGCAGGCGGAAGAUCAAGUCAGCGGUAAAAUUGAGGGGCUCAACCUCUUCGAGCCGUUGAAACUGGUUUUCUUGAGUGAGUGCGAAGAAUGCGGAAUGCGUGGUGUAGCGGUGAAAUGCAUAGAUAUCACGCAGAACUCCGAUUGCGAAGGCAGCAUACCGGCGCUCAACUGACGCUCAUGCACGAAAGUGUGGGUAUCGAACAGGAUUAGAUACCCGGGUAGUC